AGAUUUGGUGCUGGCAAGACAGCGUAGUAGGAGGAGUGCAAAAGCCAUGCCCCAGUGGGGAAAGUGGUAAGGACCUGAGCUGAUGUCGGUCUCCUCCAAUGAAGCAACUCCACACCAAGACCUGUUGGCUCAGACAGCUGGUUUUCAUCACUGCAUAGAACUCCACACAAACCAUGAGCCCCAACACUGUUAUGUCAUCUUCACCACCACUCCAUCUCACUCAGG
Molecule: long non-coding RNA, 225 nt
Organism: Mugil cephalus (flathead mullet)
Lineage: Eukaryota; Metazoa; Chordata; Actinopteri; Mugiliformes; Mugilidae
Exons: 3
Source: RefSeq, a predicted model, not a curated record